GGGACUGUGGUUUAGUGGUAGAGUACUUGCCUAGCAUACAUGAGGCCCUGGGUUCAAUUCCUCAGUACCA
RNAcentral lists this transfer RNA (70 nucleotides) under Dipodomys ordii (Ord's kangaroo rat). It matches the Rfam family "tRNA". Rfam says of the family: Transfer RNA (tRNA) molecules are approximately 80 nucleotides in length. Their secondary structure includes four short double-helical elements and three loops (D, anti-codon, and T loops). Lineage: Eukaryota; Metazoa; Chordata; Mammalia; Rodentia; Heteromyidae. The record is from Rfam by way of RNAcentral.